Long non-coding RNA from Tachysurus vachellii, 614 nucleotides. RefSeq lists it as uncharacterized. The transcript is spliced from 3 exons. The record is from RefSeq and is a predicted model, not a curated record. Lineage: Eukaryota; Metazoa; Chordata; Actinopteri; Siluriformes; Bagridae.
CCAGGGAGCAUCAAUGCUCACUUUGUGCUCUUAUCUGAAAUUACAUGACGCUAUUGUGCAGCAUGAAGCAAGCGCAGCAGAUUUGGAGCUCUCGCAUCUUCCAAGCUGCGACCUUAUAGCCGUCCUUGAAUUUUUGGUUUUGUUUUUUUGCCAUACUGAACCUGCAUUAACGACGACAGUGGGGGCUCGCCGACAGCCUUACCCACCGGGUAGCUCUGAACAAUGGCAGCGUUGUCAGGAAUGAAGCGGCUCCACCAAACCGCUGGACAAUUUCCUGAGCAGUUACACGGGAGGGUCAGGGCUUCAUUCACCAUCGACUCUAUGACAAUGAAGGCUUGGCACUGCUGCAUCAGCAGGUUGUUCAUUGGAAUGAAACUUCACUACUACCUCUUGCUGUGUGGGCGGUACUGCUACCUGACGUCAAAAGUGCAGGAGCCUACCAAAUCCCUUUUAUGGCUGUGUGGGCGGUACUGCUACCUGACGUCAAAAGUGCAGGAGCCUACCAAAUCCCUUUUAUGGCUGUGUGGGCGGUUGUUACCCAAACCAGUUCAAACGGUAUCAGUGGACAGUGUCGCAGUACUUUUCCCUUAGAGCCUCACACCCCGACCCCUGCA